AACAGUUCGAGAAAGUUUGAGAGAGAGUCUCCUCGCCAUAGUUACUGAAAGAACCCAACUGUUUACUUCAUACCCAUUAAAACUCUCAUUGUAUUGAGGUGAGAAUUUUCAUUGCAUCAAUGGAAGGUGAAAAACCCAUGAGUUUCAUGGAGUUGGGGAGUCUAAUUAUAUGGAGAGGGAGAAAUAGAGAGAGUAUCAUUGCCAUAGCUAUAGAAAAAACCAAUUUUUACAUCAAAUCCAUGAAAGCUCCAACUGUUUAAAGUCAGAGAAACUCAGUGGAUCAAUGAAAGGAGAAAAACCAAUGAAUUUCAUGGAGAUGGGGAGUGUUACAAAAGCGAGAGGACGGCACAGAGGGAGCCUCCUCGCCAUUCUAAGAGGAAGAAAACCCACUUUUACUCUACACCCAAUUAAGUUAUCGAUCUUUCAGGAGUAAGAGAAGUAUUUUUAUACUUACCCAAAAAAGUUUCCGGGCUAGAAUUUGCAGAGAAGAUAGUAGGCUUCAUAUCCAGGAACAAAUAUCCCAGUUUCUUGAUCAAUCAAAAAGGAAGACAAUCCCCCUUUAUUGAGGAGAAUGAGCAGAGACUUUGGUUGGAAUUUGCAGAGAAAAUUAGUUGAAGUCCACGGAGGUUUAAGAUGUAUGAGAGGGUAUAAGGAGCAGUUCGUUGAGAGAGGAAACAGAUGAUUCAUGAGAGAUAAGUAAGUGGGCGUUUCCAAGAAAGAGAUGAGACCUGUGUCUAGCUCUACAUAAGACUCUCUCUCCUCCCCCCUGUUAUGCCACACCUCUCUCUCUCUAACCACUGUUGUGGCCACCUCUCUCUCUCUCUUUCCCCUUCACUUCCGCUUUCACGCCUUGUCGUUGCUGCAGUGGUCUCUCUCUCUCUCUAUCUUUCCAUCUCCCUUAAUAUCUUUUCGGCCUCUGUAUUUAACGGCCUGUUUGUUUUGGCCAUAACAAAUUGUGCAUAUCAAUGAAAUGGUGAACGAUUAUACUGUGCUGCAGUAUCUAAAAAACCCGUAUUCGUAGGGUGGAUCGUCCAGCUCACAAUCCGUGUUUGGAAAUGCCGGAUCGCCGUUUGGGAUCACUAUGUAUUGGUGAUUUACAAAAUAUUAAAAUUUAGAAUUUAGAAAAUGAAAAAGGUUACAUACGGUUGCAACCUUAAAAUGUAGAACUAAAGAUGCACCUUAAAAAUUUAUCGAAAAUGUUAUUUUAUUGUUGAAAAACCCUUUAAUUGGUAAUCUCGACAUCGAGAUGGAUGGAUCUGAAAAUAAAAUAAAAGGUUUUUGAGUCCUCGAAAUAGUGCAUCUUGCGGCACAUUAUCUAGACUGUGAAUUUUCUAGAUUUUGAUAUGUUUAUAGAUCUACUUGCUUUUAAUCAUUUUUUUAGUUUAAAUUUUUCUAAUUAGAUAUGAAAAUAGAUUUUAAAAUAAUCAUAAUAAUUUUUUACAACAAAAUUACAUGAUAAAACUUGGAGGUGCACCUUAAUUGGAUAUAAUUUUAUCAAAAUUUUGUUGUAAAAAAAGAUGACCAAUAAUUUCUUUACCAAAUUUUCCAUAGAUCCCAAAAGCUCGUCAUCUAAUUCCUGCACCCCAUCAAUGGCCAUUCCAAUAUACUUUUGGAUGGAAAUGACAGUCACCUACAAGGCCUUCCAAUACCUUAUUCCAUACAACUAAAUACACAUUCAGUUAUGUCUUAGUAAUGAAAAUGAUCACUAUGGAGUACUAUUCAAAUUUUAACUUAAAAUUAUUAUUUUAUUGUUAUAUUUUAGUUAUAGUUAAAUAAAUUUGCAUAUAAUUAUUCUAUCUUUAUGUAUUAAUUUAUCAAUAAUUGUUUAAAUUAUUGUAACUAAUUACUUUGUAAUAACUAAUAAUAGUAAUAAUUAUUAUAAAGUUCAUGUGACAAAUAUAUGUGCAGUUAAUUAUACAAAAAAUAUAAUUGAAAUCUCCAAAAGUAUUCAAAAUCCUAAUCUAAUAUCAUGAAUAUCUCAUAAUCAUAUAAGCAUAACUUUGUAAUUAGUUAUUAAGAGUAAAAAAAAUUAUAAUAUUAUCUAUAGAAUUUAUUAUAUUAAUUAGUUUAGCUUCCCUUUAAUAAAGGGAAAAGUUUAUAUAGAGCUGAUACUAUAAACAAUCAAAUUAUAGCCUACCUCAAAAAAUUCACUAGAAGAGAUUGUUUUGAUGCUCAAAUAUCCUCAAAUUAAUCAGCUCGACGUCAAAAUGUAUGGACAUGAGAAAAAAAUAAAUUUCAAGUUUUGGAAAUAGUGCAUUUGAUAAUGUAUUUUUGGACCGUCAAUUUUCAAGAUUUUCAUAAAUUUGGCGAUCUAAACUAUUUUUUAAACUUUAUAAAUACACAUGGAAAUAUAUUUUAAUGCUAUCACAAAUAUUUCUAUCGUUGAAACCACAUUUCUCAACACUAUUUGAAAGUAGGCUUGUUUAGAGCCUAGGCUCUAGACAAACCGCACCCUUUAAUAAUUUUAUUUGAAAUUGGAUUAUAGUCAUAAUAUUAUCAUUUCUAAGUUAUCAAGAUAUCAAUUUUUAUAUCUUGUUUGAUAUUCCGUUACAUAGUAUCAAGAGAAAGGCAUAUAUAUCAUUUUAUUUUUUUUGGCAUGUAUACCAACUCUAUUAUGAGUUUUAAUUGCAAUAAAUAUCUAAUUAUCAUGAGUUGUUUAUUACACAUAUCAUGUGAAACAUUUUUGUGACUUUAUUUUUUCAAAAUUUUAGAAUAAUAUUUACUUAUAAGUAAAAAAAUUUGUUUGCUAACAUUAUAUUAAAGUAAUUUUAAUUAUUCUAAAAAAUAAUAUGAUUAAAAAUAAGAAAAAAUAAAAGAUAAAACACAAAAGUAAUUAACCAAAAAUAUAAAAAUACAAUUUUUAUUAUUUAUGUGUUUUUCUUUUUUGCAUUUUAAAUUUAUCCAGUUUUAAAAAUAAUAUUUACUUACAACUAAAUAAUAUAUUUACAUAAAAAUAAUUUUAUUUAUAUUAGUGAAUGAUAUAAUUGCAUAUAUAAAAAAAGGGAAACAAGAUAGUAAUGAACGGUAACUACAAAUUAGAUAUGUAAAUAAUGUAAUUGAAAUUAUUUUUAAGAAAAUAAUUACCCCAAAUGCAAGGCAUUAAUACAAUUAUAAUCAUAUUUUGAAAUUUAUGUGAUAUAAAGUUUUUCUAAUUAUCUAGAAGAAUAUUUACUCACCAGUAAAUAAUAAAUUUAUUAACAUGAAUAAUAAUAAAUUUAAAGUAGGUUAUAAAAUAAUAUAAUUUAAAUGUAAGCUUUCUAUGAUUCUCCUACAACAUAAAACUUAUAUACUUCCUCUUAUCUAACCGUCCAUUCUGAAAGGAGGGCUAAGAUUGCCGUAAUCACAAUACUACGUCUCUAUACUAUUUUAUUUUUAAUUUAUUUUCUAUAAACUAUUUUGACACUAAAAUUUGGACAUCCAAUCUUCUAUUAAGCUUGCACUAGCGAAAAAUAUAAAAAUUAUAUUUCCAAUGACAUAAAAUAACCAAAAUACCUCUGAAAGUUUCAAGAGGUAUUUUGGUCAUUAUAUUUUAUCGAAAAUUUAUUUUUAAUAUUUUUUAUAGGUGCACCCCAAUGAAAAGAUGGAGCGUACCAAAUUUCAAAUUCAUAAAAUUUGUAUAAAAAAAACUAAAAAUAAAAUACUUUGAGACGUCGAAUCUAAUAUCAAACGAUGAAUGGCUAUCUUUAUCAAAAUUGGACGGCUGGAUGGUAAGGGAAGCAUAGAUCUUCCAUACUGUAGGGGAAGUAUAAAAACCUUUCCCAUAACCUAUUUUCUAAUAGAAGUCCGCACGUGAAUAUGGAUCAACAAAUUAUCUCCUUUUAUAACUCUCUAUAAGCGAAUAUGGGAGUUUAAGAUUGAAAACAUAUUUUAAGAAAAUUAUCGUUGAUAUACCUAAAUUUUUAAAAAAUUGGAAAAAAACUCUUUACUUUCAAAAACCUCGACCACACCCUUUUGGAACAUUUUCAUGUUUUUUUGGACGAAACUACCCUUUACAGUAGUAUUUGUAUCGUAAUAAGAAUUACGAUAUUAAAAAUACCGUAAUAAACUGAUAACGGUACUAUUAAUACCGUUAUAUUUUAACUAAGCAUUACGGUACUAUUAGUAGGGUAAUACUUAUAAAAUUCUUUACGGUACUACUUGUACCAUAAUACUUAUUUUUAAAAUGAAAAACAAUUACGAUACUUAUAGUACAGUAAUCUCUUAAAUAAUGAACUAUCUAUGCAACAUUCCCCACCGCAAUUUUUUUUCACACUUUUUUCCCUUAAGCAAAAUUGUGGAUAUGGCAUAUACAACUGCACAAACUCCAAUAUAUUUGAAUGAGGCAAGGAGUGUUUGUUCAUUAGAUUUCCACCUCAUAUAUUUGAAUGAGACUGUUAUUCUUGACGCUCUCUCUAAAGUUUCAGAUAAGAUUCUGUCCAGCCUCCAUGGAGAAGCUUCCCUAGCCAGCACCCAUGAAACGGUGUUGGCCGAGUUGUGAGGUCGGCCAAGCUAGGGUAAACGUUCUCAGUCCCUGAAGUCAAGCAGUGGCUUCUGCUCUCUCGAGCAGCCUCUGUUACCAAUUGGCCCUGAAAAAAAGUAUUGGCCCUAAGAAAAAAAACUAUCUCAACUGAACUAUUAUUGCCUACCCUUCAAAAGAAAAUAAAGAAAUAAAACAAACAAAAGAGAAACUCCCAUAUGUAUGGCUGUCUUUUAAGGUCACAAUAAAAAGGUUUGUAUAAAGUCCAGUUUCAACAAUUACCACCAAUAGAGCCUGCCUGCUUGAUGAAUUUUCGUCAUCAAACAAUCAUCUUUGGGCUUCGUCCAAACACAAGCAUCUGUUUCUAAACGCAAGUCCUGUCAGGAAUAUAAGCACUGAUUAGUCACCCAAUUUUCAACCUUCUAUAUUUAUCAUUUCAGGUUAUAAUAUUUUGUGACUUGGGAAAUAGAAUGAAAAACACCUUGAGGAGAAUAUGGACAUUGUCACAGAUUGAGGUCCAGCAAGUUAGAUCAGCACCUCCAACAAAUGUAAAAAUUAGGCCUCGUAAACAAGCAUAUUUUCCUCGAUCAUAAAAGCCAUCUCAAACUCUCUUUGCAUGUAGCAUGCUUCUAUCAACUGGGUCUUAGUCGAUUCCUCUGGGAGUUUUCCCCUUUUAAGCAUAGCGUCGAAAACAAAAUGGGCUUCCCUUAAUCUAUUUUCUUCACAGAGAAGGCAGAUCAAUCUGUUGAAGUUAUACUUACAUGGGGCACAACCAUGCAUAAGCAUUUCUUGAAACAGAUUGAAAGCCAGAUCAAUUGCACCAUUAACAGAGAGGAGGUCAAGUAGUCGCUCAUAGGAAAUCUUAUUGGGAACAAAACCCUUCUUAUACAUUGUGAGUGUGAGCGAUAAAGCAUCCACUAUUCUUCCCGCCAAGCAAAGGCCUUUAAGAAGUGCAUUAUAUGUAACCUUAUCAGGGGGAUACCCAUCCAUAGCCAUUUGAUUGAAUAACUUAAUGGCAAGAUCAAUUUCACCAUGCAUGCUGUGGCCAUUGAUAAGUAUGUUAUACGUCACUUGAUUAGGGUGCACCCCAUUUUGAAGCAUCAAAUCAAGAAGGUCAUAGGCAUUUCCCAUCAUGUCAGCCCUGCAAAACCCAUUAAUCAUCCCAUUGUAAAUAUGUAAAUCAGGCAUCAGCCCAUCAUCUAUCAUAUCUCGCAUCAAACUUAGAGCCAGCUCAAUCUUUUCCACAAAAGAAUUGCACGAAAACCGUUGCUCAAGUCUUGAGGGCUCCAUAGUCUUUUGAGGGAGCAGAUUAAAGAGCAUUUUUCUCGCAUCUUCAUUCCUUUUGGCACGGGAAAUUGGUAUGGGGUGCUGCCGCACCUUACGUGAGAUAUUUCGGCAAACCCCGCUUAUAAGAGAUCCAUAAGUGAUCAAAUUAGGCUCAAUCUGGUUUUUAAUCAUCUGAUCAACAAAGCUCAAGGCCACACCAAUCUCACCUCUUCGACAGAACUGGCUAAUGAAAGUGUUGUACAGAACCCUAUCAGGUUUGAAACCAUCUUCCAACAUCCGUUCAAGAUAAGAACACCCACGCUGAACCAUGUUUCUCUUAAUCAAACCAUUUAUUAGUGCACAAUACGCAUGGGAACUCGGCUUUAAACCCAAGUCUAUCAUCUCUUCAAACAAAUUGCAAGCAUCCAAAGCUCUUCCCACUUUGGAAAACCCAUUGAUUAAAGUGGUGUAUACUUCCACAUCAGGUGCAGUCCCACCUUCAAACAACCAAUUGAACAUAGAUUUGGCUUCCUCCAUCCUAUUCUCUUUGCCCAGGCAACCAAUAAUAGAGUCAUAGAUGGCAACAGUGGGCUCCAACCCGCUUUCAAUCAUCUCCUCGAAGGCCCGAAGAGCCAAUACGAGGUUUCUUUCCUUGCAGUGCCCACUUAUCAUUAUCAAAUAAGUCGCCCGAUUGGGAACCAAACCUCUCUCCCUCAUUGAGCUCACUAGGGCUUCAGCAUCUGCAAUUCUAUCCUCCUUGAAGAGGCAUUUAACCAAGGAAUUAUACGUGGAGACAGUGGGUUCCAAUUCAAGGUAACCCAUCUUAUUUAUGAAAUAAAAAGCGCUGUCAGAUUUCCCUUCUGCACAAAAAGCAUUAAUCAGUACAUUAAAAGCCACACUGCUUGGAACAAUGUUGCUUCUCAAUAUCUCGUCCAACAAAAGCUCAAUUCCUUGCGGACUCGAAUCUGAAAACACCAAGUCAUCAAGACUGCAAUUAUGCCUUGCCAUCGCCUUUAAGAGCUUCAAAGCAAGAAGAGGCUCCCGAUCUUUUGGAUAGUUGUUUAUAAGAGACAAGAACAUAAUGUGGUCAGGUGCAAGGCCACUAUCUAGCAUCUUAUUGAACAAAAAAUCAGCCUCUGAGAACCUAUUCUCCUUGCAAAGAGCUUGAAUCAAGACUGUGUAACAGUGAACAUUGGGUGCAACACCAUGGCUGGACAUGACAUCAAGAAGCUUCAAAGCAGAGUCUAGCCUGUUAUCUUUGCAGUAUCGAUUGAUUAUAACACUAUAAGUGACCACAUCAGGCUCCAAGCCUCUCGCAUGCAUCUCAUUGAAAUACUCCCAAGCCAAAUCAAGAUGACCCAGUUUCACAAAACCAUAAAUAAGUGUGUUAUAAGUGUAGGUAUCCAAUUGAAACCCCAUUUUACCCAUCCUGCAAAAUAGUUUCAGAGCCAUAUCCAUCUUUCCAUCUUUACAAUACCAAUAGAGAAGGAAAGUAUAAGUCUCAAGCUUUGGAGAAAGACCUUGUAACUCCAUUAAUCGGCACAGAUAUUCUGCCUCCUCAACCCUCUUGUUCUUAAAGCAAAAAUGCAUCAAAGACUUGUAGAAUUGAAUGCUAGGCUUCAUACCGGAACCCACCAUUGUUUCAAACACUUGGAGAGCCUUGUCAAAAUUCCCCCGAGAACAGAGACUAAACAAAAGUAACCUGCAGGAAGAUGAACUAGGAAGAACCUUGAAGGAUAUCGCUUUAUAGAACAAACUAAGAGCCUCAGGUACUCGCUCUUUUAUGCAGAGCUCUUGAAUCGACGCAUUAAUGGCAGGUGAAGAAGGCAGAGAACCAACCUGAACCAGAGCCUCGAGAUGGUCAAUGGCCUUCUGCAAUUUCCCCAAUCUACUGUAACAAAUUAUCAUACAAUUGACCAUGUCAGGGUCAGGGACAAUCUCUCUAGAAAGAAGGUAAUUGUAAAACUCUUCAGCUUUUGAAGCAUGGCCUGAUACAACCAAACGUCUCAAAAGAGAAGUGUGGCUCUUUAGAUUGAGAUUUGGGCCAUGGGAGAUGGAGAAUUCAAAAGAACAGAUGUCAUUUGAGAGCUUAGACUUGGAACCUCUGAUAAUUCGAUCGAGAACCGCUUGAGAUUCUUGAACCAUGCCCCUGCUCAAAAGCUUCUCUGCUAAACCUAAACAAUACUGCAAAUGCUCUUUGGACAAAUCUUGAGGAGCUACAAACGAAUCCAGCGCAGCAAUGGAAGUUGAAAAACCCAUGAAUUUCAUGGGUGUUGGGUGUCUUAUAACAAUUCGAGGAAGUUUGAGAGAGAGUCUCCUCACCAUAGUUACUGAAAGAACCCAACUGUUUACUUCAUACCCAUUAAAACUCUCAUUGUAUUGAGGUGAGAAUUUUCAGUGCAUCAAUGGAAGGUGAAAAACCCAUGAGUUUCAUGGAGUUGGGGAGUCUAAUUAUAUGGAGAGGGAGAAAUAGAGAGAGUAUCAUUGCCAUAGCUAUAGAAAAAACCAAU
RNAcentral lists this long non-coding RNA (8232 nucleotides) under Amborella trichopoda. RNAcentral's name for it is "long non-coding RNA (ATRI_LNC005432)". Lineage: Eukaryota; Viridiplantae; Streptophyta; Magnoliopsida; Amborellales; Amborellaceae. The record is from RNAcentral.